This 2698-nucleotide long non-coding RNA is filed under the name Mus musculus (house mouse). Its description in RNAcentral is "long non-coding RNA chr4:42470117-42472815". The record is from RNAcentral. Lineage: Eukaryota; Metazoa; Chordata; Mammalia; Rodentia; Muridae.
GUUUUUUUUUUUUUUUUUUUUUUGGCAUGGAAAACUUUAUGUGCCAAGAUUGUUAGCCACACUAAGAGCAGCAGAGAGGAUGACUCCUCUUCCUCUCAUCUGUCACCUUCACUGCAUAGGUAAUGAGUUCACUGGAGAGAGCAAAGUAGCUGCAGGUCUCUUGGGAGAAAAACAAGACUUUCAAUAGCCUUUUGGAAGAGAAUGAUAAUUACAGUAAGAUGUAGCUAAGUGUCCUGGCUAAUUUACUGUCAACUGAACACAAGCUAGAGUCAUUUGGGAAGAACCCUCAAUUGGGAAAAUGCCUCCAUGUUAGUAAACAGCACUCCUCCAUGGCCUCUGCAUCAGCUCCCGCUUCCAGGUCCCUUGAGUUCUUGACCCAACUUUCCAGGACGAUGGACUACAAGCUACAGGAUGAAAUAAGCCCUUUCUUUCCCGAGGUUUCUCUUGGUUGUGUGGUUUUACCAUAGCAACAGAGACCCUGUCUAAGAUGCUAGGUAAAAAUGCUAAUUAGAAUAAGGUUGUGGGGAGAGGGGGCAGGGCAACAUGUGAAACUAAUUGAGUACUACAAGAUGUUGAGAAAAGAGGACAGAAAGAAAUAUCCCAUGCUGAACCAGAACUGGUUAUGUGUGCUUUGACUCAUUUUGGCAGAAUACAUGGUGAGAUACAGUUUCUAUCAUGAGAUGGGUCCUACUAUGAGACAGGACCACAAAAUAAAGAGGGAAAAGAAGGAAGGGGCUGGGCGGGGAGACAAGAGGAGCACAUGGAUAUUAAAGGGUGACCAUUUGGGACUGGACAGCCAUUUCCUAUGAACUUCCCUGGGGAGGCCCUCCUCUCCCAGCUUCCCUCAGCUGCCUCUGGGUAGGGCUGGUGCCUUGUGGACUUUUCUAUCCACUUUGGCGUGUCCAUUGGUGAGCAGGUUCUAUUUAGGAAUGUAUAUGUACACACAUGUAUGUGCCUGCAGGAGCCAAAAAAGGAGGCCACGAAACUGAAGAAGAACAAGGAAGGGUUAUGGGAGGGUUUGGAGGGAGGAAGGGAGAAAUGUAGUUGUAUAUUAAAUAUAUUGCAUUAUAUUAUAUUACACUCUCAAGACUGUAUAAAAAUAAAAAGGGUGGUUGACUUAUGAAGGCUCGGUCCGAGUCAAUUUAUUAACCCACUCAUGAAUUAACAUGUCAGUGGAUUAAUAAGUUGUUGCUUGCAUGUUUUGUUAUAGCCACGCUCCUUGUGCUCAGCUUGCUCUGUGUUACCAUGGCCAUCACAGAUGUCAGGCAGAUGCUGCCACCAGGCUCCAGAACCUUGAGGAAAUAGAUGAUUUCUUUAUAAGUUUUCCUCAUCAAUUAUGUCAUCUGUGGCAUUCUUAUGGCAACAGAAAAUGGACUAUUCUAUGAUUAUAGGAAAUUAUAGGUCACAACAAAUGAUAAAGCUUCUGGAAUAUAACAGAGAAUGUCUUCAUUAUGACUUAAGAAAAGCUGUGCCGCAGAUCUAGCCCAGGGACCCCGCAUACCAGGCAAACAUUCUCCCAUGGAGUUGCAUCUCCAACCCUUUCAUUAGGAAUUUCUCGAUGGUAAACAAAAUUCCUUUAAAAAUUACAGAGCACUAAUCCUAAAAUGAGAUUGAUACAUUGGUGCAUUUUAAACAUCAGGGUUUCCUUUUAAAGAGUGGUGUGGUGGUUUGAAAAAGAGUGACAGCCCCUACCCCCCCCCACACACACACACACAGAUUCACACAUUCGGAAGCUUAGCCAUCAGGGAGAGUAGUUUCCAAAGGAAUGACCUCAACAAACAAAGGAAGCCUGAAGGUUUUAUCUGGGGGCCUACCCACAGUCACAUAAGAAAACACAUUAGGAACAAGCAUAGUCUAUGGAUGCUCACGUUCCUGAAUAGUUACAGUUUAGCAUCAUUGUCUUUGUUAAGGUUUCUACUGCUGUGGUAAAGACCCGACCAAAGCAACUUAGGGAGGAAAAGGCUUUAUUCAGCUUACACUUCCAGUUAAUAGUCCAUCACUGAGGGAAGUCAGGCCAAGAACUCCAGCUGGACAGGGACCUAAUACAGCAGGAACUGGUCAGAGGCCAUGAAGAGGUGCUGAUAACUGCCUUGCUCUCCAUGACUUGCACAACCUGCUUUCUCAUACCACCCAGGACCACCUGCCCAGGAGUAGCACCAUCUACAAUGGGCUGGUCCCUCCUGCAUCAAUAACUAAGCAAUACAAAGCCAAGCAGCUGAAACAGUUCUGAAAUUGAUCCAUCCUCGAACCAAACACCUUUAUUUACAGAGGAAAUCAAUAUGAGCAGGUUAUUAAGCGCUUUGAAUAGGCACUUCAGUGCACUAUGUUCUUCGGGAAGGAUCAUCUAUAGUGUGCCUGCCUCCAUAACAAAAAUAGAAAAGAUAAUGUGGUUUUGAUUUUCUUGUGAAUUUGUGGGUUUUUCAAGACAGGAUUCCUCUGUGUAAACUUGGGUGUCCUUGGAAAUUGCUGUGUCAACCUGGCUAGCCUCAAACACAGAUCUGACUGCCUUUGCCUCUCUAGUACUGGGAUUAAAGGUAUAUGUCACCACUGCCCAGCCUAUUCUAAUUUUUUAAUGGAAUUUUUCUAAGUAAGUAAGAAAUUAUAUUUUAAGGAUCUCUUAUCAAUUCAGUCCUAGUUUCUGCCUCUGUAAAAUUACACAUAUUAUCUACAGUUAAUAAAUUAACCAACCUGUAACAGU